RNAcentral lists this ribosomal RNA (298 nucleotides) under uncultured bacterium. RNAcentral's name for it is "partial 16S ribosomal RNA". It matches the Rfam family "Bacterial small subunit ribosomal RNA", at positions 28 to 319 of the family's 1533-position model. The record is from RNAcentral.
GACGAACGCUGGCGGCGUGCUUAACACAUGCAAGUGGAGCGACGAACCAGGCUUCGGCCUGGGGGCAGAGCCGCGAACGGGUGAGUAACACGUGGGUAACCUGCCCUGAUGAUCGGGACAACCCGGGGAAACCCGGGCUAAUACCGAAUGUGCCCGCAAGCCACAAGGCUUGCGAGGAAAGGAAGCUUCGGCCUCCGCAUCGGGAUGGGCCCGCGGCCCAUUAGCUUGUUGGUGGGGUAACGGCCUACCAAGGCAGCAAUGGUAGCUGGCCUGAGAGGACGAUCAGCCACACUGGGAC